CUGCUACUUCUGCGAUUUCUGUGACUUCUGCGAUUUCUGUGACUCCUGCGAUUUCUGCGACUUACCACCGCAUGAAAAAGCUACAUCUGUCCACACAGAAAAUUGCAUCUCAACAAACCUGUCAUUGGUACCCGAACUACAUUUCAGUCACUCAGUAAAGUGAUAACUCAAAAUAUCAUUGUCAGCAGAUCUGGAGAAAUUGCCACUGCGUCUUUAGACCGUUUUCGUCAGACGAGAGCCACAUCAAGGCUGUUGGCUGUUGGAAGAGACUCGUGAAGAUUCAAGAGAGCUCAUAGAGAAUUUGCAGUUUAAAAGUGACAUUAUUGCGAAAUAAGUGUGCAGAUGAGUGAUUAAACUGUGUUUUAUUGAAGUUGUUGUAUGAUUUUAAAGGAAUAAUAAAUGUUAAAUACA
Long non-coding RNA from Schistocerca cancellata (South American locust), 411 nucleotides. RefSeq lists it as uncharacterized. NCBI's taxonomy places the organism in Eukaryota, Metazoa, Arthropoda, Insecta, Orthoptera, Acrididae. The transcript has 3 exons. The record is from RefSeq and is a predicted model, not a curated record.